GACGAACGCUGGCGGCGCGCCUAACACAUGCAAGUCGAACGAGCGAGAGAGAGCUUGCUUUCUCGAGCGAGUGGCGAACGGGUGAGUAACGCGUGAGGAACCUGCCUCAAAGAGGGGGACAACAGUUGGAAACGACUGCUAAUACCGCAUAAGCCCACGGCUCGGCAUCGAGCAGAGGGAAAAGGAGCAAUCCGCUUUGAGAUGGCCUCGCGUCCGAUUAGCUAGUUGGUGAGGUAAUGGCCCACCAAGGCAACGAUCGGUAGCCGGACUGAGAGGUUGAACGGCCACAUUGGGACUGAGACACGGCCCAGACUCCUACGGGAGGCAGCAGUGGGGAAUAUUGCACAAUGGGGGAAACCCUGAUGCAGCGACGCCGCGUGGAGGAAGAAGGGUCCUUUCGGGAAUUUGGUAAAAACUCCCUGUUGUUGAGGAAGAUAAAUGACGGUACUCAAACAAGGAAAGUGACCGGCUAAACUACGUG
This 481-nucleotide ribosomal RNA is filed under the name uncultured bacterium. Its description in RNAcentral is "bacterial SSU rRNA". It matches the Rfam family "Bacterial small subunit ribosomal RNA", at positions 28 to 507 of the family's 1533-position model. The record is from RNAcentral.